UUGUACAUUGAAUGGUAGCUAUCGGAUGUAUUUGAUAAUCCUAGCAACCGUCUUUGUGCAAAA
Molecule: microRNA precursor, 63 nt
Filed under: Drosophila mojavensis
Lineage: Eukaryota; Metazoa; Arthropoda; Insecta; Diptera; Drosophilidae
Description: Dmo-Mir-9692_pre stem-loop
Source: RNAcentral